This 446-nucleotide ribosomal RNA is filed under the name uncultured bacterium. RNAcentral's name for it is "SSU rRNA". It matches the Rfam family "Bacterial small subunit ribosomal RNA", at positions 26 to 518 of the family's 1533-position model. The record is from RNAcentral.
AGAACGAACGCUGGCGGCAUGCCUAACACAUGCAAGUCGAACAAGACCUUCGGGUCUAGUGGCGCACGGGUGCGUAACGCGUGGGAAUCUGCCCUUGGGUCCGGAAUAACAGUGAGAAAUUACUGCUAAUACCGGAUGAUGACGUAAGUCCAAAGAUUUAUCGCCCAGGGAUGAGCCCGCGUAAGAUUAGGUAGUUGGUGGGGUAAAGGCCUACCAAGCCGACGAUCUUUAGCUGGUCUGAGAGGAUGAUCAGCCACACUGGGACUGAGACACGGCCCAGACUCCUACGGGAGGCAGCAGUGGGGAAUAUUGGACAAUGGGCGAAAGCCUGAUCCAGCAAUGCCGCGUGAGUGAUGAAGGCCCUAGGGUUGUAAAGCUCUUUACCCGGGAUGAUAAUGACAGUACCGGGAGAAUAACGCCCCGGCUAACUCCGCGCCAGCAGCCGC